This 481-nucleotide ribosomal RNA is filed under the name uncultured bacterium. RNAcentral's name for it is "partial 16S ribosomal RNA". It matches the Rfam family "Bacterial small subunit ribosomal RNA", at positions 28 to 523 of the family's 1533-position model. The record is from RNAcentral.
GACGAACGCUGGCGGCGUGCUUAACACAUGCAAGUCGAACGCUGAAGCCCUUCGGGGUGGAUGAGUGGCGAACGGGUGAGUAACACGUGGGUAAUCUGCCCUGCACUCUGGGAUAAGCCUUGGUAACGGGGUCUAAUACCGGAUAGGACACAUCGCCGCAUGGUGUGUGUGUGGAACGUUCCGGCGGUGCAGGUUGAGCCCGCGGCCUAUCAGCUUGUUGGUGGGGUGAUGGCCUACCAAGGCGACGACGGGUAGCCGGCCUGGGAGGGUGACCGGCCACACUGGGACUGAGACACGGCCCAGACUCCUACGGGAGGCAGCGGUGGGGAAUCUUGCGCAAUGGGCGAAAGCCUGACGCAGCAACGCCGCGUGGGGGAUGACGGCCUUCGGGUUGUAAACCUCUUUCGACCGGGACGAAGGAUUCGUUUGACGGUACCGGUAGAAGAAGCACCGGCUAACUACGUGCCAGCAGCCGCCGUAA